This is a non-coding RNA of Potamilus streckersoni, 73 nucleotides long. The record is from the annotation of a GenBank genome assembly. NCBI's taxonomy places the organism in Eukaryota, Metazoa, Mollusca, Bivalvia, Unionida, Unionidae.
GGUCCGGUGGCCUAGUGGUUAGAGCGUCCGCCUCGGGUGUGGGAGUUUGUUGGUUCGAUCCCCGGUCAAGUCA